AUUGAACGCUGGCGGCAGGCCUAACACAUGCAAGUCGAACGGUAGCACAGAGAGCUUGCUCUCGGGUGACGAGUGGCGGACGGGUGAGUAAUGUCUGGGAAACUGCCCGAUGGAGGGGGAUAACUACUGGAAACGGUAGCUAAUACCGCAUAACGUCUUCGGACCAAAGUGGGGGACCUUCGGGCCUCACACCAUCGGAUGUGCCCAGAUGGGAUUAGCUAGUAGGUGGGGUAAUGGCUCACCUAGGCGACGAUCCCUAGCUGGUCUGAGAGGAUGAGCAGCCACACUGGAACUGAGACACGGUCCAGACUCCUACGGGAGGCAGCAGUGGGGAAUAUUGCACAAUGGGCGCAAGCCUGACGCAGCCAUGCCGCGUGUAUGAAGAAGGCCUUCGGGUUGUAAAGUACUUUCAGCGGGGAGGAAGGCGAUGUGGUUAAUAACCGCAUCGAUUGACGUUACCCGCAGAAGAAGCACCGGCUAACUCCGUGCCAGCCGCCGCAGUAA
RNAcentral lists this ribosomal RNA (504 nucleotides) under uncultured bacterium. RNAcentral's name for it is "partial 16S ribosomal RNA". It matches the Rfam family "Bacterial small subunit ribosomal RNA", at positions 30 to 523 of the family's 1533-position model. The record is from RNAcentral.